GGUUAAGUGACUAAGCGUACACGGUGGAUGCCUAGGCAGUCAGAGGCGAUGAAGGGCGUGCUAAUCUGCGAAAAGCGUCGGUAAGGUGAUAUGAACCGUUAUAACCGGCGAUACCCGAAUGGGGAAACCCAGUGUGUUUCGACACACUAUCAUGUCAUGAAUACAUAGUGGCAUGAGGCGAACCGGGGGAACUGAAACAUCUAAGUACCCCGAGGAAAAGAAAUCAACCGAGAUUCCCCCAGUAGCGGCGAGCGAACGGGGAGGAGCCCAGAACCUGAAUCGGCUUGUGUGUUAGUGGAAGCGUCUGGAAAGUCGCGCAGUAAAGGGUGAUAGCCCCGUACACUAAAAUGCACAGGUCGUGAGUUCGAUGAGUAGGGCGGGACACGUGACAUCCUGUCUGAAUAUGGGGGGACCAUCCUCCAAGGCUAAAUACUCCUGACUGACCGAUAGUGAACCAGUACCGUGAGGGAAAGGCGAAAAGAACCCCGGCGAGGGGAGUGAAAUAGAACCUGAAACCGUGUACGUACAAGCAGUGGGAGCACCUUCGUGGUGUGACUGCGUACCUUUUGUAUAAUGGGUCAGCGACUUAUAUUUUGUAGCAAGGUUAACCGUAUAGGGGAGCCGUAGGGAAACCGAGUCUUAACUGGGCGACUAGUUGCAAGGUAUAGACCCGAAACCCGGUGAUCUAGCCAUGGGCAGGUUGAAGGUUGGGUAACACUAACUGGAGGACCGAACCGACUAAUGUUGAAAAAUUAGCGGAUGACUUGUGGCUGGGGGUGAAAGGCCAAUCAAACCGGGAGAUAGCUGGUUCUCCCCGAAAGCUAUUUAGGUAGCGCCUCGUGAACUCAUCUUCGGGGGUAGAGCACUGUUUCGGCUAGGGGGCCAUCCCGGCUUACCAAACCGAUGCAAACUCCGAAUACCGAAGAAUGUUAUCACGGGAGACACACGGCGGGUGCUAACGUCCGUCGUGAAGAGGGAAACAACCCAGACCGCCAGCUAAGGUCCCAAAGUCAUGGUUAAGUGGGAAACGAUGUGGGAAGGCAUAGACAGCCAGGAUGUUGGCUUAGAAGCAGCCAUCAUUUAAAGAAAGCGUAAUAGCUCACUGGUCGAGUCGGCCUGCGCGGAAGAUGUAACGGGGCUAAACCAUGCACCGAAGCUGCGGCAGCGACGCUUAGGCGUUGUUGGGUAGGGGAGCGUUCUGUAAGCCGUUGAAGGUGGCCUGUGAGGGUUGCUGGAGGUAUCAGAAGUGCGAAUGCUGACAUAAGUAACGAUAAAGCGGGUGAAAAGCCCGCUCGCCGGAAGACCAAGGGUUCCUGUCCAACGUUAAUCGGGGCAGGGUGAGUCGACCCCUAAGGCGAGGCUGAAAAGCGUAGUCGAUGGGAAACAGGUUAAUAUUCCUGUACUUGGUGUUACUGCGAAGGGGGGACGGAGAAGGCUAGGCU
This 1442-nucleotide ribosomal RNA is filed under the name Serratia ureilytica. RNAcentral's name for it is "partial 23S ribosomal RNA". It matches the Rfam family "Bacterial large subunit ribosomal RNA", at positions 1 to 1488 of the family's 2925-position model. The record is from RNAcentral. Lineage: Bacteria; Pseudomonadati; Pseudomonadota; Gammaproteobacteria; Enterobacterales; Yersiniaceae. RNAcentral also lists the same sequence under 1 other name.